UACGUAGGGAGCGAGCGUUGUUCGGAAUUACUGGGCGUAAAGGGAGUGUAGGCUGGAAAGUAAGUUAGGAGUGAAAUGUAUCGGCUCAACCGGUAAGCUGCUUUUAAUACUGCUUUUCUUGAGUAUGGGAGAGGAAAAUGGAAUUUCAGGUGUAGCGGUGGAAUGCGUAGAUAUCUGAAAGAACACCGAUGGCGAAGGCAGUUUUCUGGACCAAUACUGACGCUGAUGCUCGAAAGCUAGGGGAGCGAACAGG
RNAcentral lists this ribosomal RNA (253 nucleotides) under uncultured bacterium. Its description in RNAcentral is "partial 16S ribosomal RNA". It matches the Rfam family "Bacterial small subunit ribosomal RNA", at positions 524 to 776 of the family's 1533-position model. The record is from RNAcentral.